This 492-nucleotide ribosomal RNA is filed under the name uncultured bacterium. Its description in RNAcentral is "partial 16S ribosomal RNA". It matches the Rfam family "Bacterial small subunit ribosomal RNA", at positions 29 to 507 of the family's 1533-position model. The record is from RNAcentral.
AGUGAACGCUGGCGGUAGGCCUAACACAUGCAAGUCGAACGGCAGCACAGUAAGAGCUUGCUCUUACGGGUGGCGAGUGGCGGACGGGUGCGGAAUACAUCGGAAUCUACUUUUUCGUGGGGGAUAACGUAGGGAAACUUACGCUAAUACCGCAUACGACCUACGGGUGAAAGCAGGGGAUCUUCGGACCUUGCGCGAUUGAAUGAGCCGAUGUCGGAUUAGCUCGUUAGCGGGGUAAAGGCCCACCAAGGCGACGCUCCGUAGCUGGUCUGAGAGGAGGUUCGGCUAGAGUGGAUGGGAGACAGGAUCCAGACACCUGCAGGAGGCGGCAGUGGGGAAUCUUGGAGAAGGGGGGAAAGCCGGAUCCUGCCAAACGGGGUAGGGGAAGAUCGACUUCGGGUUCGAGAGUCAUUUAGUUGUUAAGGAAGAAAAGCAGUUUUACCCCCCGUUGUACUGACGGUACCGAAAGAAUAAGCCCCGGCUAACUCCGUG